UCUUUCCCUAGGUGCAUUGAGGGUAUGGCUGCUGUGGUAUGUGCAUCAAUAGAUAGCAGAGAAGAGAGAGGCUAUGUCUAUUCUCAGUGUUCUGACAUAUGAACAUCUAAAUGAUCAGUUCCCUCAUUGU
Apodemus sylvaticus (European woodmouse) is the source of this 130-nucleotide small nucleolar RNA. RefSeq annotates it as small nucleolar RNA SNORA17. The record is from RefSeq and is a predicted model, not a curated record. The transcript has a single exon. Lineage: Eukaryota; Metazoa; Chordata; Mammalia; Rodentia; Muridae.